GACGAACGCUGGCGGCGUGCCUAACACAUGCAAGUCGAACGGAACUGUUUUGAAAGAUUUCUUCGGAAUGAAUCUGAUUUAGUUUAGUGGCGGACGGGUGAGUAACGCGUGAGUAACCUGCCUUCAAGAGGGGAAUACCAUUCUGAAAAGAAUGCUAAUACCGCAUGACAUAUCGGAACCACAUGGUUUUGAUCUCAAAGAUUUUAUCGCUUGAAGAUGGACUCGCGUACGAUUAGUUAGUUGGUGAGGUAACGGCUCACCAAGACCGCGAUCGGUAGCCGGACUGAGAGGUUGAACUGCCGCAUUGGGACUGAGACACGGCCCAGACUCCUACGGGAGGCAGCAGUGGGGGAUAUUGCGCAAUGGGCGCAACCCUGACGCAGCAACGCCGCGUGAAGGAUGAAUGUUUGCGGAUUGUAAACUUCUUUUAUUAAGGACGAAAAAUGACGGUACUUAAUGAAUAAGCUCCGGCUAACUACGUG
Molecule: ribosomal RNA, 482 nt
Filed under: uncultured bacterium
Lineage: Bacteria
Description: partial 16S ribosomal RNA
Rfam family: Bacterial small subunit ribosomal RNA
Source: RNAcentral